GAUGAACGCUGGCGGCGUGCCUAAUACAUGCAAGUCGAGCGAACAGACGAGAAGCUUGCUUUUCUGAUGUUAGCGGCGGACGGGUGAGUAACACGUGGAUAACCUACCUAUAAGACUGGGAUAACUUCGGGAAACCGGAGCUAAUACCGGAUAAUAUUUUGAACCGCAUGGUUCAAAAGUGAAAGACGGUCUUGCUGUCACUUAUAGAUGGAUCCGCGCUGCAUUAGCUAGUUGGUAAGGUAACGGCUUACCAAGGCAACGAUGCAUAGCCGACCUGAGAGGGUGAUCGGCCACACUGGAACUGAGACACGGUCCAGACUCCUACGGGAGGCAGCAGUAGGGAAUCUUCCGCAAUGGGCGAAAGCCUGACGGAGCAACGCCGCGUGAGUGAUGAAGGUCUUCGGAUCGUAAAACUCUGUUAUUAGGGAAGAACAUAUGUGUAAGUAACUGUACACAUCUUGACGGUACCUAAUCAGAAAGCCACGGCUAACUACGUG
Molecule: ribosomal RNA, 497 nt
Filed under: uncultured bacterium
Lineage: Bacteria
Description: partial 16S ribosomal RNA
Rfam family: Bacterial small subunit ribosomal RNA
Source: RNAcentral